This 301-nucleotide ribosomal RNA is filed under the name uncultured bacterium. Its description in RNAcentral is "partial 16S ribosomal RNA". It matches the Rfam family "Bacterial small subunit ribosomal RNA", at positions 509 to 809 of the family's 1533-position model. The record is from RNAcentral.
CAGUAGCCGCGGGAAUACGAGGGGGGCAAGUGUUAUUCGGAAUUAUUGGGCGUAAAGGGUGCGUAGGCGGCCCCGCAAGUCUCAUGUGAAAUCUUCAGGCUCAACUUGAAGUCUGCAUGGGAAACUGCGGGGCUGGAGUAUGGGAGAGGUGAGUGGAAUUCCUGGUGUAGAGGUGAAAUGCGUAGAUAUCAGGAGGAACACCUGUGGCGAAAGCGGCUCACUGGACCAUUUCUGACGCUGAUGCACGAAAGCUAGGGGAGCAAACAGGAUUAGAUACCCCAGUAGUCCCUGUCUCUUAUAA